CUCCUCCAGGUCGUUGACCCCUGUUGAUAGUCCUGCAGGUCGGGACAUUGAGAUGAGUGGCCUAUGUUCCUUACAGCUGCACUGAGCUGGCACCUGAGGGAGAGCUGUGCCUCCCAGUGCAGGUCUGGGAAGUGACCCCCAGGUUGAAUUGGAAGACAAUUACAGACCGGCUGAAGCUUUUCCAUGACAGCCUGGGAAUGAUACCUUUUAUAUAGAGGUCAUUUCAUACUGCCUGAAAAAGUACAUCAAGAACUUUUUAGAGAGUGGCAUAUUCCAUUAAAAAGCCAUCACAUACUGCAGUGAAAUGAUACAAUCAGAUCUGGACAUUUCAGAAGCUAUGGAGGGAGAAGCAAUUUAAAAAGAAAGAAAAAUUGCUCAGGAAGAGAUUAGCUAAAAUGGUGAAGUGAAAUACAUUAUGAUUUCCCUUCAAUGGUUUUACCUAAGAAGAAGAAAAAAGAGGUUUCAGGCACUCUGAAAACUCCUGAGAAGACUGUGGAUAUCCAGGGCCCCACACCAGUUUAUACACAACAUAUUUGAAGAAACAAAAAUCUGAAAUGACUGAAAUGGAUGAUGACAAAUGAAACAGUUUUCAAACAGCCAUAGCUUGAAUAAAAGAAAUUCAGGAGACUCAGACACCUACAAGUUCAAGGAGAAAAAGAUUAAGAAAAAGCAGUCAGUGAUUCUGAAUACAUUAUGUAUGAUAUUUCUUCUGAAAAAUGUGUGUGGGGGGGUUUCUAUUUAACUAGAUGAAAUGCAAUGAUUAAGAAUUUAUGGAGAAAACUGUGAGUUCACAACAGUAAGGAGAACAGUAAUUCUGACUUCCCUGUCCCUGUCCUCUCUGGACUUCAUGGGCACAGCAGCUGCAGCAGCCAGGCCCCCAGCACCAAUCCCUCCUGGCUUCCUCUGGUUUUCUUGGCAGAUUCCAUAGCUGUCUGUGGUGACUCUGCCUGGAUAGAAGGGUCACCACUAGCUUCAGGCUUAAGUCCCCAACUGCUGCUUUUGCUGUUACUAUCAAAGAAAAUAAAAUCUUCCUUAACCUUCUGUGUGGGUCUCUGUUAGGCUGUGUGCAUUUAACCCAUAAAGGGUGCCUUAGACUUUGACAUCAUAUGGUUGAAACUGAAAGUUAAAUUACAUGGAGAGUGAGAAGGCAGUUCAAGUAUGUAUAUAUACACAUAUAGUCAUUUUUUCAAUGUUACUCAGUUUUGGGUGGACUAGCAAGGAUUAAUAGCUAUCAUUAUGUAUCAGUAUCAUCGAUGUGAAACUGUAUUUCAAGAGUCAAACAGUGACCAACAAAUAAAUACUUUCUCCAGUUUAUUUGUAUGUGA
Molecule: non-coding RNA, 1325 nt
Organism: Manis javanica (Malayan pangolin)
Lineage: Eukaryota; Metazoa; Chordata; Mammalia; Pholidota; Manidae
Source: RefSeq, a predicted model, not a curated record